UACGAAGGGGGCUAGCGUUGCUCGGAAUCACUGGGCGUAAAGGGUGCGUAGGCGGGUCUUUAAGUCAGGGGUGAAAUCCUGGAGCUCAACUCCAGAACUGCCUUUGAUACUGGGGAUCUUGAGUUCGGGAGAGGUGAGUGGAACUGCGAGUGUAGAGGUGAAAUUCGUAGAUAUUCGCAAGAACACCAGUGGCGAAGGCGGCUCACUGGCCCGAUACUGACGCUGAGGCACGAAAGCGUGGGGAGCGAACAGG
This 253-nucleotide ribosomal RNA is filed under the name uncultured bacterium. RNAcentral describes it as "partial 16S ribosomal RNA". It matches the Rfam family "Bacterial small subunit ribosomal RNA", at positions 524 to 776 of the family's 1533-position model. The record is from RNAcentral.